This 440-nucleotide ribosomal RNA is filed under the name uncultured bacterium. RNAcentral's name for it is "partial 16S ribosomal RNA". It matches the Rfam family "Bacterial small subunit ribosomal RNA", at positions 338 to 795 of the family's 1533-position model. The record is from RNAcentral.
CCUACGGGUGGCAGCAGUGGGGGAUAUUGCACAAUGGGGGAAACCCUGAUGCAGCGAAGCCGCGUGUGGGAAGACGGCCCUCUGGAUUGUAAACCACUGUUCCCAGGGACGAACACGACGGACCCUGGGCAGGAAGCUCCGGCUAACUACGUGCCAGCAGCCGCGGUAAUACGCAGGGAGCGAGCGUUGUCCGGAUUUACUGGGUGUAAAGGGAGCGUAGGCGGGACUGCAAGUUGGGUGUCAAAUCUACCGGCUCAACCGGUAGCCGCACUCAAAACUGGAGUUCUUGAGUGAAGUAGAGGCAGGCGGAAUGCCUAGUGUAGCGGUGAAAUGCGUAGAUAUUAGGAGGAACACCAGUGGCGAAGGCGGCCUGCUGGGCUUUUACUGACGCUGAGGCUCGAAAGUGUGGGGAGCGAACAGGAUUAGAUACCCGGGUAGUC